GACGAACGCUGGCGGCGUGCUUAACACAUGCAAGUCGAACGGAAAGGCCCUGCUUUUGUGGGGUGCUCGAGUGGCGAACGGGUGAGUAACACGUGAGUAACCUGCCCUUGACUUUGGGAUAACUUCAGGAAACUGGGGCUAAUACCGGAUAGGAGCUCCUGCUGCAUGGUGGGGGUUGGAAAGUUUCGGCGGUUGGGGAUGGACUCGCGGCUUAUCAGCUUGUUGGUGGGGUAGUGGCUUACCAAGGCUUUGACGGGUAGCCGGCCUGAGAGGGUGACCGGCCACAUUGGGACUGAGAUACGGCCCAGACUGCUACGGGAGGCAGCAGGGGGGAAUAUUGCGCAAUGGGCGGAAGCGUGAUGCAGCAACGCCGCGUGCGGGAUGAGGGCCUUCGGGUUGUAAACCGCUGUGGCCUGUGACGAAGCGUGAGUGACGGUAAUGGGUAAAGAAGCACCGGCUAACUACGUG
This 468-nucleotide ribosomal RNA is filed under the name uncultured bacterium. RNAcentral's name for it is "partial 16S ribosomal RNA". It matches the Rfam family "Bacterial small subunit ribosomal RNA", at positions 28 to 507 of the family's 1533-position model. The record is from RNAcentral.